This is a long non-coding RNA of Oncorhynchus keta (chum salmon), 564 nucleotides long. RefSeq lists it as uncharacterized. Lineage: Eukaryota; Metazoa; Chordata; Actinopteri; Salmoniformes; Salmonidae. The record is from RefSeq and is a predicted model, not a curated record. The transcript is spliced from 2 exons.
UGUGUGUGUGUGUGUGUGUGUGUGUGUGUGUGUGUGUGUGUGUGUACAGGUUCAUCUGCGGAUGCUGUCUGAUCCCGUUCCUGGUCGCAGGGUUCCAGGACGCUCAUCACUCCUGCCCGCUCUGCCACGCCCACCUCCACAAACACACCAGGAUGUGACAUCAUCACUACAUGCCAUGACAUCCUCACUACAGGACAUGACAUAAUCACUACAUGGCGUGAUAUCAUCACUACAGGAUGUGACAUCAUCACUACAGGACGUGACAUCAUCACCACAAGACGAGAAGGACUGGUGACAUCAGAAGCCCUAGUCAGAGUGUCCUCUCAGGGCUUUAAACCACUGGACUGGUGUAGACUGGGUUAGGGGAUAGAGAGGUUACAGAGGUUAGGGUUCAGAGGUUAGGGGUUCAGAGGAGGGAAUGAGAGCAUGGCUGUUGGGUUGAAGCCCGAUUACAACAUUAAUUUACACUGUAUUAAAUGUCACUGUAUUCAAUAUAUUAACUAUAUCAUUUAUCAUAUUGCACACUGUAUUAACUACAUUAUUUAUUAAAUAGUGUAUGAGUUA